Molecule: non-coding RNA, 173 nt
Organism: Pseudomonas sp. GM78
Lineage: Bacteria; Pseudomonadati; Pseudomonadota; Gammaproteobacteria; Pseudomonadales; Pseudomonadaceae
Source: Rfam
GUCGGCGUUGUUACCCUGCAGACGCAAACGUUUACGUUGACGUCCGAACUGCCGGGCCGCACCAGUGCGUUCCGCAUUGCUGAAGUGCGCCCACAGGUCAACGGCAUCAUUCUCAAGCGUCUGUUCAAGGAAGGCGGCGACGUCAAGGCCGGCCAGCAGCUGUAUCAGAUCGA